This 205-nucleotide unclassified non-coding RNA is filed under the name Hevea brasiliensis (rubber tree). Lineage: Eukaryota; Viridiplantae; Streptophyta; Magnoliopsida; Malpighiales; Euphorbiaceae. The record is from RNAcentral.
GUGGUGACGACGAUGAGGAAGGUCCAAGGGGAGGAGAUCAUGAUAUUGACGAUGAUGAUACUGAGAAAGGUGAUGAUUGGGAGCAUGAAGAAAUUUUCACUGAUGAUGAUGAAGCAGUUGGUAAUGAUCCCGAGGAACGGGAAGACUUGGCCCCUGAGGUUCCUGCUCCUCCAGAAAUCAAGCAGGAUGAAGAUGAUGAAGAUGA